AUAACCAUUAACUUGAUUAUGAGUUUUUAUAGUAGAUGUUAGCUCUAGUUGGUUGACCUGUGUGAGCAAUGUGUUCAUUUAUAUGAGAUCUAUUGACUUCGAUAGAGAAAAAUAGUCUUAUGAGAUUUGAGAAGCUGAGUCCAUAAGUCUAUAGCCAUAGCAGUGUGAUUGAUGGAAAAUUUUUUUUAUUUAGCAUCACUAUUGGAUUUGAGC
RNAcentral lists this long non-coding RNA (213 nucleotides) under Elaeis guineensis (African oil palm). Its description in RNAcentral is "long non-coding RNA (EGUI_LNC073677)". Lineage: Eukaryota; Viridiplantae; Streptophyta; Magnoliopsida; Arecales; Arecaceae. The record is from RNAcentral.